GAUCAUAUCUGCUGCUAUCUGGUGGCUGAGUUUUUCACAUGCUUUCCAGCCAAGCUUUGUGUGGCAGUGUGGGAGAGUCUCUUAUUAGUCUUGCUAGCAUCUGCACUUCUGAAUCUCCAACAAAUCUCUCAGCUUUUUAAGGACUGGCAGUGGUUGAGCUCUUUGUAAUCUUCAUCUGCCAUUGUGAAGUGGGUGCCAAAAUCUGCGCCAUUUCGGCCUACUCCUCACUGAAAAACAGUAUAAACCAUCAUCAAGGACUUGUAAGUAAACGGAUCAUGGCGUCUUAACAUCAGAUCCAUCAAACUUACGAAAUUAAGAUCAAAAUACAACAGUUUGAUGAUAAACCUUCAUGUGAGAGUAAGAAUACUCAGCAUUCCCACUUCAAAUUACUGUAUAACUAAUGAAAUUGCAUUCCUUCCAUUAUAUAACAUGAGCUGACCAAGUGUUUUCUUGUUAUUAUACAAUUUAACUAUGAAAUUCAUCGAA
Malus domestica (apple) is the source of this 486-nucleotide long non-coding RNA. RefSeq lists it as uncharacterized. The record is from RefSeq and is a predicted model, not a curated record. Lineage: Eukaryota; Viridiplantae; Streptophyta; Magnoliopsida; Rosales; Rosaceae.